RNAcentral lists this ribosomal RNA (831 nucleotides) under uncultured Alphaproteobacteria bacterium. RNAcentral's name for it is "bacterial SSU rRNA". It matches the Rfam family "Bacterial small subunit ribosomal RNA", at positions 56 to 939 of the family's 1533-position model. Lineage: Bacteria; Pseudomonadati; Pseudomonadota; Alphaproteobacteria. The record is from RNAcentral.
UGCAAGUCUAGGGGGUGUAGCAAUACAUCACCGGCGGACGGGUGCGUAACGCGUGGGAAUAUACCUAUUGGUUCGGAACAACUGAGGGAAACUUCAGCUAAUACCGAAUGUGCCCUUACGGGGAAAGAUUUAUCGCCUAUGGAUUAGCCCGCGUCCGAUUAGCUAGUUGGUGAGGUAACGGCUCACCAAGGCUCCGAUCGGUAGCUGUUCUGAGAGGAAGAUCAGCCACACUGGGACUGAGACACGGCCCAGACUCCUACGGGAGGCAGCAGUUGGGAAUCUUGGACAAUGGGGGAAACCCUGAUCCAGCCAUGCCGCGUGAGUGAUGAAGGCCUUCGGGUUGUAAAACUCUUUCGACGGGGACGAUAAUGACGGUACCCGUAGAAGAAGCUCCGGCUAACUUCGUGCCAGCAGCCGCGGUAAUACGAAGGGGGCUAGCGUUGUUCGGAAUUACUGGGCGUAAAGCGCGCGCAGGCGGUUUUUCAAGUCAGUGGUGAAAGCCCGGAGCUCAACUCCGGAAAUGCCAUUGAAACUGUAAAACUUGAGGAUGAGAGAGGUGAGUGGAAUUCCCAGUGUAGAGGUGAAAUUCGUAGAUAUUGGGAAGAACACCGGUGGCGAAGGCGGCUCACUGGCUCAUAUCUGACGCUCAGCGCGACAGCGUGGGGAUCAAACAGGAUUAGAUACCCUGUAGUCCACGCCGUAAACGAUGAAUGCUAGCCGUUGGGCAGCUUGCUGUUCAGUGGCGCAGCUAACGCAUUAAGCAUUCCGCCUGGGGAGUACGCGCAGGUUGAAACUCAAAGAAUGACGGGGGCCCGCACAAGCGGGGACAUG